AACAGGUUACUUGUGGUGCAGUGUGGUAGUGGAAAAAGCUGCAUUACGUGUGACCUGCCCA
Molecule: microRNA precursor, 61 nt
Filed under: Ornithorhynchus anatinus (platypus)
Lineage: Eukaryota; Metazoa; Chordata; Mammalia; Monotremata; Ornithorhynchidae
Description: Oan-Mir-1421-P32_pre stem-loop
Rfam family: mir-1421 microRNA precursor family
Source: RNAcentral